GUCUCUGUAGCUCAGUUGGUUAGAGCGCUGCACCGGAAUCGCAGGGCCGCAGGUUGGAUUCCUGUCAGGGACC
Molecule: transfer RNA, 73 nt
Filed under: Paramuricea clavata
Lineage: Eukaryota; Metazoa; Cnidaria; Anthozoa; Malacalcyonacea; Plexauridae
Rfam family: tRNA
About the family: Transfer RNA (tRNA) molecules are approximately 80 nucleotides in length. Their secondary structure includes four short double-helical elements and three loops (D, anti-codon, and T loops).
Source: Rfam by way of RNAcentral